UCUCAACCAUUUUUGGUAUGAGGUCUUGCUCCUUUUAGGAGUUAAAAUCAUGGAAGUGCACACGUUAAUUAACUCUGUGCAGUUAUACACUUUUCAUCCUCCAAUCAAGCAAGGUUACCCGCUGAACUUAAGCAUAUCAAUAAGCGGAGGAAAAGAAACCAACAGGGAUUGCCCUAGUAACGGCGAGUGAACAGGCAAGAGCUCAGAUUUGAAAGGCACUUUUGUGCCGUUGUAUUCUGAAGUUAGGGUCCUGAGAAACGAUGCUUAAGUCUUCUGGAAAGGAGCGCCAUGGAGGGUGAUAGCCCCGUCUAGCAUUGACCUCAUAUAGGAUCUUAACAUGGAGUCGAGUUGUUUGGGAAUGCAGCUCAAAUGGGUGGUAUGCUCCAUCUAAAGCUAAAUAUCUGCGAGAGACCGAUAGUAAACAAGUACUGUGAGGGAAAGAUGAAAAGAACUUUGAAAAGAGAGUGAAAAAGUACGUGAAAUUGUUGAAAUGGAAGGGUAGGCCGCUAACCAUGUAGAGCCGUGUUUGGGGGGAAGAUAAAUGCUGUAGAAUGUAGCUCCUCGGAGUAUUAUAGAUGCAGUUCAUAUUCCCACCCGAGCGCGAGGAUCUCAGGUUCUACUAA
This 623-nucleotide ribosomal RNA is filed under the name Starmerella bacillaris. RNAcentral describes it as "eukaryotic LSU rRNA". The stretch from base 95 to 623 matches the Rfam family "Eukaryotic large subunit ribosomal RNA", at positions 1 to 555 of the family's 3401-position model. Lineage: Eukaryota; Fungi; Ascomycota; Dipodascomycetes; Dipodascales; Trichomonascaceae. The record is from RNAcentral.